GAAAAAACUUAAUAAGACAAUUCGACAAUAGAAAAGUAGACGUUAACUACUUCAACUUUUAUCAUGACUACCCAAAUCAAAAUUACUUUGCAAGUUAGAUGACGAUAUUCCAUUUCAUAACAUUUAUUGCGGUUGUUAUAUUCUUAAGUGAAUAAGGCUUUCUGGUCAGUUCCCUUCUGAAAAUGGUUGUGUAACCACUUCCCAUGGCAUUGAGCAAUCAACUAAUGGUUUUAAGGCCUAAGGUAACUUUUCAUCGAGCUAAUGAGGGACCCAAGUAAUUUCGCAUAUAGGAUUUCUUUCUCAUUUUGUUUGUCCUACAUGUUAUCCCUAUCACACUUUCUCCCAACACCAACCACCCCCUUCUUCCC
Molecule: unclassified non-coding RNA, 368 nt
Filed under: Hevea brasiliensis (rubber tree)
Lineage: Eukaryota; Viridiplantae; Streptophyta; Magnoliopsida; Malpighiales; Euphorbiaceae
Source: RNAcentral